This 253-nucleotide ribosomal RNA is filed under the name uncultured bacterium. RNAcentral's name for it is "partial 16S ribosomal RNA". It matches the Rfam family "Bacterial small subunit ribosomal RNA", at positions 524 to 776 of the family's 1533-position model. The record is from RNAcentral.
UACGUAGGGACCGAGCGUUGUCCGGAAUCAUUGGGCGUAAAGAGCGUGUAGGCGGCUUGCUAAGUCUUGCGUGAAAUCUCGGGGCUCAACCCCGAGCGGUCGUGGGAAACUGGCAGGCUAGAGUGCGGAAGAGGAGAAUGGAAUUCCUAGUGUAGCGGUGAAAUGCGCAGAUAUUAGGAAGAACACCCGUGGCGAAGGCGGUUCUCUGGGACGCAACUGACGCUGAGACGCGAAAGCGUGGGGAGCAAACAGG